RNAcentral lists this ribosomal RNA (397 nucleotides) under uncultured bacterium. Its description in RNAcentral is "partial 16S ribosomal RNA". It matches the Rfam family "Bacterial small subunit ribosomal RNA", at positions 523 to 918 of the family's 1533-position model. The record is from RNAcentral.
AUACGUAGGGGGCGAGCGUUGUCCGGAAUGAUUGGGCGUAAAGGGCGCGUAGGCGGCCCGGUAAGUCUGGAGUGAAAGUCCUGUUUUUAAGAUGGGAAUUGCUUUGGAUACUGUCGGGCUUGAGUGCAGGAGAGGUAAGUGGAAUUCCCAGUGUAGCGGUGAAAUGCGUAGAGAUUGGGAGGAACACCAGUGGCGAAGACGACUUACUGGACUGUAACUGACGCUGAGGCGCGAAAGUGUGGGGAGCAAACAGGAUUAGAUACCCUGGUAGUCCACACUGUAAACGAUGAAUGCUAGGUGUAGGGGGUAUCGACCCCUUCUGUGCCGCAGUCAACACAAUAAGCAUUCCGCCUGGGGAGUACGGCCGCAAGGUUGAAACUGAAAGGAAUUGGCGGGG